Molecule: long non-coding RNA, 1278 nt
Organism: Pongo pygmaeus (Bornean orangutan)
Lineage: Eukaryota; Metazoa; Chordata; Mammalia; Primates; Hominidae
Exons: 3
Source: RefSeq, a predicted model, not a curated record
GUCUCUCCGGCUGGCGCCCCGCUUAGGCCUGCCCAGGCCCCGCCCACCUCCUCGUGGACCCCUCCCAGGCCUGGUUUCUGUCCUGCGCGCGCAGAUUCGCGCAAACCUGGAAGCGGACAGCGUGGAGUGAAGGUCUCACCGCAGCGCGGACAUGCGUGACACUUGGUGAGACCCGGGACAGGAGGACUCCUUCAGGAGACUGAUCCCCUGUCCUGAUCUCCAUGAGGAGCUCCACCGACGACCUCGGGUCCUCAGACCAACCAGCCCAAGGAACAGCUCACCAAUUUCAAAUUGGAGGCAGUAUUGCUCUGUCGCCCAGUGGUGCAAUCUCAGCUCACUGCAACCUCCACCUCCUGGGUUCAAGCAGUUCUACUGACUCUAAUUGUCAGUCCCCUCUGCAACCAGAGCCCCACUCAACCCCUUUACUGAGGUCCCUGCCCCUUCCCACUGCGUUGUCCCAGACUGAGGGGGGAGCUCGCCCUGACUGCAGGACUCUGCCUGCUCAAACAAGGCACUUUGCAUUAAAACCAUUUUCAACUUAAGAGGAAAAAUGAUUCAGCGUUCAGUACAGGUGGCCUACUACAACAUGUUGUUUUACCUUCGAUUGUUUGAAACACUAACUUGAAAUGGGCAGGAAACAUCCCUGUGAUAUUAGGGGUAAUAUCACGGCACAUCAGAAACAAUCCACCAAUCAGAACUCGGAGGAUUUUGUCCAAGCGGGCAAGAGGAUGACAGCAGGCGACAUCCGGGGCCCAGCUGAGGAGAGAGCCCGAAUCCGACCCUUGCAGGCCUCCGCCCUUCAGAACAACAACCCCUCCAGACGCCGCCCCCAAGAUGACGGUAACCCUCUGUUUCUGCCCUUUCCCGCUGUGUGGCCUGGCCCCCAGGCGGCCUCCUCCCUCUUGCCCCGCCCCAGCCUUGUUCCAGGCACCGCCCCCAGACUCUAGCUCUCCUAGGUUCCUUCUUAAGUUUAUACACUCAUGCACCACAGAGUCCUAAGCACAAAUAUGGAAGACACCACGCUCUGGUAAGGUAUCUAUCUGACAGACUGAGCGUCUGCCUCAAGAACAUAGCAAUAGCAAUACUAAGUGAAAUAUUAGUAAGUUUCAUAUAUGUAUAUAAUUAAUCAUUUAUUAUUUGCAGCUUUAAAUUGGCUAAAAUUACAUAGCAUGGGUUUGUAUUUUAAUCAAAUAUUAAAAAUAUAUCAUUCACAAAUGGAAUCUAACCACACAAAGUUGAAGAACAUUUCCUUAUGUCGAAUAAAUAUGAAGGACUUCA